CGCGUAGGUGGCGGGACAAGCGUGCGGUGAAAGCUCGGGGCUCAACCCCGAGUCGGCCGUGCGAACUGUUUUGCUUGAGCACUGUAGAGGCAGGCGGAAUUCCGGGUGUAGCGGUGGAAUGCGUAGAGAUCCGGAAGAACACCGGUGGCGAAGGCGGCCUGCUGGGCAGUAGCUGACACUGAGGCGCGACAGCGUGGGGAGCAAACA
RNAcentral lists this ribosomal RNA (207 nucleotides) under uncultured bacterium. RNAcentral's name for it is "partial 16S ribosomal RNA". It matches the Rfam family "Bacterial small subunit ribosomal RNA", at positions 568 to 774 of the family's 1533-position model. The record is from RNAcentral.